RNAcentral lists this ribosomal RNA (503 nucleotides) under uncultured bacterium. Its description in RNAcentral is "bacterial SSU rRNA". It matches the Rfam family "Bacterial small subunit ribosomal RNA", at positions 30 to 518 of the family's 1533-position model. The record is from RNAcentral.
CGAACGCUGGCGGCGCGUCUUAAGCAUGCAAGUCGGACGGCAAGAGAAGUGCUUGCACUUCUCCUAGAGUGGCGGACUGGUGAGUAACAGGUGGGUGACAUACCCUCAGAUGGGGAUAGCCGGUAGAAAUACCGGGUAAUACCGAAUACGCUCGUACAUCUCGGAAGUGUACGAGGAAAGGAGCUACGGCUUCGCUGUUGGAUUGGCCCGCUUCCCAUUAGCUAGUUGGUGAGGUAAUGGCCCACCAAGGCUAUGAUGGGUAUCCGGCCUGAGAGGGUGAUCGGACACAUUGGGACUGAGAUACGGCCCAGACUCCUACGGGAGGCAGCAGCUAAGAAUAUUCCGCAAUGGACGAAAGUCUGACGGAGCGACGCCGCGUGGAUGAUGAAGGCCGGAAGGUUUGUAAAAUCCUUUAGCAAGUGAGGAAUAAGCAGAGCAGGGAAUGGCUCUGUGGUGACUGUAGCUUGAGAAUAAGCAUCGGCUAAUUACGUGCCAGCCGCGGC